Calidris pugnax (ruff) is the source of this 2484-nucleotide long non-coding RNA. RefSeq lists it as uncharacterized. NCBI's taxonomy places the organism in Eukaryota, Metazoa, Chordata, Aves, Charadriiformes, Scolopacidae. The transcript has 5 exons. The record is from RefSeq and is a predicted model, not a curated record.
GCCACAGCUUUGUGUUCUGGCACCUUCAGUGUGGGAGCGAUUGCUGGACACCAGAUGUUUUUCACCCGGCCCCGGGAGAAUGAAAUAAGGUGUUUUUGAGGAUUAAGUUGCCAGGAAAACAAGGGGCCCCAGGGUAUCCUGAAAAGUGGCUGUAGUGCAACUAAAGCUACCAGUGAGUCAAAAAAAUGCAAAGCUCUAGUGGCCUGUAUCAACAACUGUACCACAAAUGAUGCCAAAUAAUACUUUUUCAUCCACUCGGCUGUAGUCUUUGAAAACCUCCAGGAAAGAAGAAAGCAUUUGAUUCCUACCCAGCUUUAUUUGAAAGGGCCUUUUCCUUUCUCAGCAGAAGGUCAACUGCCACGAUUUCUCCAUGGUCGCCCUUUUUUCUGCGGCCACAGUACAGGACAGAUGGAAAGGAUCCAGAGUGCUCUGUGAAUAUGAGAUGCACUAUAUUUUCCAGAAAUUCCUGACUUUAUUGCGGAUGGAAUUUUGGUUUUUUCACCAGUUUUGCUGUGUACUGUGUGCUAAAAGCAAUGACCGCCACAGGAUCCUGUUUUGGAAUCUGCAUGGAGCUGAUGGUGACUAGGACCCCGGUGACUACAGGAACGUCCCAGCUAGCGGAUGGGGGUCGGUGGUUUUGUGUUGAGGACAGAUGCAGGCCCCUAGCCCUGUGAAAGCUAAGUGGAGGGACCAGGGCUGGGGAGGGAUUGGGAGGAGGAGGGGACAACUUGGCAAUUGUAGGAGGGGUUUUGAAGUUGUGUGGUAUUAGAAAGAACAUGUGCCUGGUGGCUCUGAGUAUACAUGGCAGCUCAGUGAAGUGUUUCUGGUUUUGCAGGCUGUGUGGGCUGCCUUUUGAAAUGGGUGAGUGUUUGAGGUGAGCUGGGUAAUGGAGAGGAGGCACACUGGGCUGGUGAUUUCUUGCACAUUCAAUGGUAUUUUUGUGUCUCUUGGUUUCUUAGGUACCACAAACAGAUUGGCUCUGGAAUCCAUGCAGAGAUUUCUGCCUGGCUUUCAGGGGCACGUUUCCCUGGCAGUCUGGUAGCAUCUCUCUGGUGCAGUGCUGCCAGCCAGAUGUCCCUCUCCCUUGGGUAGGACAGGAAAAAGCCCCCGGUCAAAUGAUGACUGGGCGUUUUGGAGACGGAGAGCACAAUGGUGUCAGUUCAGAGCUGGGCCAGUUAAAUUAGUGCCAAAGGAAAGUCAAACACUUUUAUAGUGUAUUUUUAUUGACUGUAUCUAAACGUACACAGAGCUUUCCAGGGAAAGGGAAGGGAGGAGGCGCUUCCCCCCCACCGGGCAGAGGGGUUUGUUACACUGUUGGGCUGAGAAGGUGUUCCAAGUGGCAUCAGUCAGUCUUAAUAGGGACUUGAAGCGUCGGGAGGGCUCUGGCUUUGGCAGGCUGUGCCGUCUUUGAAGCUGAGCUGUUUCCCCAGAAUCAUCCUGUAGCUCAGCUUCUGUCCUGUCCCUCAGUCUGAGGGAAUUCCUCUACUCUCUCCUCUGUGCUGUUUUGUUUGAUGCUGAACUACAGUUGGGGAUUGUUGUUUUGCAGGUGCUUCGUUGUCCACGUCUCAUGCUGCUUGAUAGCUGCCCCAGCCUGGGUUUGCAGCCAGUGGUGGGCCUGAGGGGAAGGGACCAGCCCUGGGUCUGGGCAUUUGGUGCUGUCUUUUUGCGGUGAAUAAAAAGGUGGGGGGAGGGUAUUUGGAGAGUGAUGAUGUCAUUUGGGGGCCCCCAGAGUUACCGAAGGGGGCAAUGAUACAGCAGAGGAGCAGGUGAAUUGGGGAUGUGGGGUCACAUGGGGUUCCCCCCUAAAAGAGGUGGGUCAUUGUGGGCUCAGUUAAAGGUCACUCCCAUAGUUAAGAUUUACUUGCAUUUGGAGCAACAGUGUGUGCCAGUAGUGACCUUGAGAGCAGGGGAGGAGUGAGAAAUACAAGUUUUGCAUCCUGAAGCACAUCCUGACAAAAACAGAGCACAGUCUGGGAACCAAAACCUGUCUUGAUAGUAGAAUAAUUGUUAUUGUGAUAAGCUCAGUAGAAGGUAAAAAAAUAUUAUUGUAAGUCCAUGAUUGGGCAUUAUGGGGGGAGUAGGUUUCUGUCUUGGUGUAUAUAAGUCUCUCUGUGUAGCAGUAAAGAUGGUCAAAUUGGAUUUUUUGAUUCGCUUACUGCAUGACCUACGAGUCUGUGAUUUCUUCAUACGCCACAGGUCACAGCCCCAAAAUGUCUGAAAAGUCGGGAGGGGGGGGAUUAAAAAAUAACAAAACCUGAAAAUAUUAGUGUGAAGUGUUGAAAUAGAGAACACUCUCUCAUUUAUAUAUAGAUGGGAAAAUAAUAUUUAUGUAUAUAAAAGGAGUUUGGAAUAAAACCCUGUAUCUCUAAGGAUUCUAUGAUUCUAUGUUAUAAAAAAGAUCUUAUAAAAAUGAUAAAAAAUAUUUGUAAAAAAUAUUAGUGUCAAAAUAGAUGUCUAAACAGAUAAAGUAGAUAUUCUACAUAA